Molecule: small nuclear RNA, 104 nt
Filed under: Vulpes vulpes (red fox)
Lineage: Eukaryota; Metazoa; Chordata; Mammalia; Carnivora; Canidae
Source: RNAcentral
AUGCUCGCUUUGGCAGCACGUAUCCUAAAAUUGAAACGAUGCAGAGAAGAUUAGCAUGGCCCCUGUGCAAGGACGACACGCAAACACACACACAUGACGACUUC